GCCAGCUUCUGGUAUUUUCGACACGUCUGCGGCGACCCCGUUAAGUUCGCUUUUGGACGUUGGACGUCGGAGGUAGAGGUUGUGAGUCCGCCGUUCAGGAGAAGCAGCGAAAAGCCUCUCUCCGUCCUUAACUUGAGAAGGAAGGCGUCCGUUGGGCCUUUCUCUCCUUGAGUGAGGCGUCGACGGCCCGUGGAACUGAGUUCUCGGGCAGGGGUCGUCAAAGCAAAGGAAGCUCGGAAGCUGCCGUCCGAGAUGUCCAGCUACGUGAACGACCUGUGGCCGGGCUCGCCGCACAAGGCCUCCCCCUCGUCGUCGCGGUCGGGCCCGUCCAGCCGGCUGUCCUCGGCGUCCGGGAGCCGCUCUCCCCCGAGCUCUCCGUCCCGAUCCAUCGUCUCGACUCGGUCGUGGUCGCGGAGCCGCAGCCGCAGCCCGCCCCGGCGGAGGAGCAGGUCGAGGUCUCGCUCCCGAAGGCGCCACCGGAGGAGGUACCGGCGCUACUCGCGCUCGUACUCGCGGAGCCGCUCGUACUCGCGGAGCCGCUCGCGCCCCCGCAGCCGCCGGUAUCGGGAGAGGCACCACGGCCCCUCCAGGAGGUCCUACCGGUCCCUCAGCCGCCCCCGCUCCCGAGGCCGCUCGCCUUACCGGAGGGCCUACGCCUUCGCGCGGGACCGCCCGUACUACGGCUUCGGCCGCACCGUCUACCCGGAGGAGCGCAGAGGCUGGAGGGGGCGAUCCCGGACCAGGUCGCGCAGCCCAACCCCAUUUCGUCUGAGUGAGAAGGAUCGAAUGGAGCUGUUAGAAAUAGCAAAAGCCAAUGCCGCAAAAGCAUUAGGAACAGCCAACUUUGACUUGCCAGCCAGUCUCAGAACUGUUUCUGUAUCUAAAGAAACCAACCGUGGAACAGCUGUACUGAAUGAUGGUGCAAAGUCUGAGGUAAGUGUUUUAGAUUUAUCCAAACAAAAUCUUCAGGAAACUACUACCAGAAAGAUCUGAUUAGCCAUUUUUAUUUGAUUUGCCUUAGACUGCUUCCUGGAAAGGCUAGCUAAAUAUAAUUUAAAAUGACAGAUCUGACAAUACUAGAUAGUCUCCCCCCGUGAAAAUGGGAGACUAAUGAACUUUAUUUUCAGUUGACACAGUACUAAUUACUUUCAUAAUUGUAGCUGGUACUUUGGUGAUUUCUAUGUAGUUACCAAGUUUUUCUAGCUAGUUUUUUACGGAGUAUUUAUCUGUAGCGCUCAUUUGCAGCAUUAUGUUCCCACAAGUUCCGUACUCAACAUACAGUAUAGUUUAUCUGCUUUAUUUCUGUCUUAUAGAAAUCAUGAAUGUGGUCUCCAGACAUUGAUGAAGAAAAUCUGUUGAUGUUUUGAGAGAUUACAGAAGAAGAGGCCUGCUUCACUUGCAGAUAAGUUUAUUACAAUUCUCCAGAAAUGUGCAGCAUAAAAUUCAUAGCUUAAAGUUUUAAGGUAGUUAGGAAUUGAUAACAUUGAGUUAACAUAGGGAAGAUGGGUUAUCUCCUGUCAUUCAGAUCCAGAUGUGGGUUUGCCUAAGUAUUAGUGGUGGACAAGAAAGAUCUUAGUUCAGUCGCUUUUUCAGACGGUUAGGUUCCCAACUGGAUGGGCAAAUGCCUUAGUUCUUUGAAACUAGGUGUUUUCUGGUAUGACUUGACUUUCAAAGUUACUUGAAUUUGCAUCAGGGGGAUACAAUACUCCUUUAUGGGGAAGAGUGUCUUAAGCCUAUCAUUGAAUCACUUUUGUUAUGGGGAAAACUCAACAGAGUACUAUGUUAUUUAUUUUAGGAUGUUAACUAUUUGGUUACAUCCAACUUGAUUUGUGUCUCUACCAGUGAAUUUGUAAUACAGUUGGGCUGCUUUUUAUACCUACAAGGGUAUGGUUUUUUAAAAUUUACUUUCUCUUACCUGUCUAGCUGUCGGAUAAGUUAAUAGAAGAUGAAACAGAAAAUCCCAAUGAGAAGUCUUCCCAGCAAAAAAGCAUAGCUUUUAGCUCUAAUAAUUCUGUAGCAAAGCCAUUGCUUCAGAAAUCAGCUAAAGCUACUGCUGAAGAGACCUCUUCAGGAUCCCCAAAAAUAGAUAAGAAGAAAAGUCCAUAUGGACUGUGGAUACCUGUCGAAAAGAACAUCAAUAGCUAAGGUUGCCUGAAAUGCAUUUUUUUUUUU
Molecule: RNA transcript, 2172 nt
Organism: Orcinus orca (killer whale)
Lineage: Eukaryota; Metazoa; Chordata; Mammalia; Artiodactyla; Delphinidae
Gene: RSRP1
Gene name: arginine and serine rich protein 1
Exons: 5
Source: RefSeq, a predicted model, not a curated record